Molecule: transfer RNA, 76 nt
Filed under: Capnocytophaga gingivalis ATCC 33624
Lineage: Bacteria; Pseudomonadati; Bacteroidota; Flavobacteriia; Flavobacteriales; Flavobacteriaceae
Description: tRNA-Cys
Rfam family: tRNA
About the family: Transfer RNA (tRNA) molecules are approximately 80 nucleotides in length. Their secondary structure includes four short double-helical elements and three loops (D, anti-codon, and T loops).
Source: RNAcentral
AGGCAUCAUGGCCGAGGGGCUAGGCAGAGGUCUGCAAAACCUUCUACAGCGGUUCGAAUCCGCUUGAUGCCUCAAU